CCAGUAUAUACCUAUGUAGCCCCAUCAACCAGGUAUAUUUGUAACUAAUCUGUCAUGGGGAAAAAACUGCGGCCUUCAGACUCGCCACUGGUUUGGCAGAUUUCAUUAGGACCUGCAAGUGAUCAAUUACAUCUUACAAGACCAUGAAUCAGAAUAGUUACCUAUAUAUGCAUACCGCAAAAUGAAUCAUAUCUCAGGGUAGUUUAGAAACAAAACACCAACUUGUAAGUUCUAGACCCUUUGUAUUCACUUUUUAUAUAUCUAACAGGCCAGAUAGUAACAGUAUACUAAAAAAAGGAAGCAUUUCUAUUACUUAUCAACUAACAGGAAUAUAUUAUCAUCCAUUGUUGUACCUCAGACCAAAAUGGGACAGCCAACAUUCUGUAUUAGAAUAAGAAAUUAUCCAUCUGAAACUAGCAGUAAAUUAGGUGAUAGAUGACUUGCACACCGGGCAUGAUGUUUUCCUAUGGAGCCAAGGAUC
This 481-nucleotide long non-coding RNA is filed under the name Arachis ipaensis. RNAcentral describes it as "long non-coding RNA (AIPA_LNC000140)". The record is from RNAcentral. Lineage: Eukaryota; Viridiplantae; Streptophyta; Magnoliopsida; Fabales; Fabaceae.